Molecule: ribosomal RNA, 460 nt
Filed under: uncultured bacterium
Lineage: Bacteria
Description: partial 16S ribosomal RNA
Rfam family: Bacterial small subunit ribosomal RNA
Source: RNAcentral
CCUACGGGGCGCUGCAGUGAGGAAUAUUGGUCAAUGGGCGCGAGCCUGAACCAGCCAAGCAGCGUGAAGGAUGAAUGCUCUACGGGUGGUAAACUUCUUUUAUAAAGGAAUAAAGUGAGGCAAGUGUGCCUUUUUGCAUGUACUUUAUGCAUACGGACCGGCUAACUCCGUGCCAGCAGCCGCGGUAAGUCGGAGGAUCCGAGCGUUAUACGGAUUUAUUGGGUGUAAAGGGAGCGUAGAUGGGUUGUUAAGGCAGUUGUGAAAGGUUGCGGCUGAACCGGAAAAUUGCAAUUGAUACUGGGAGUCUUGAGUACAGGUGAGGUAGGCGGAAUUCGUGGUGUAGCGGUGAAAUGCGUAGAUAUCACGAAGAACACCGAUUGCGAAGGCAGCCUGCUAAAAUGCAACUGACAUUGAUGCUCGAAAGUGUGGGUAGCAAACAGGAUUAGAUACCCGAGUAGUC